RNAcentral lists this non-coding RNA (27 nucleotides) under Homo sapiens (human). Lineage: Eukaryota; Metazoa; Chordata; Mammalia; Primates; Hominidae. The record is from RNAcentral.
GUCUGGUCCUCCACCUCAGGUCACAGU